RNAcentral lists this long non-coding RNA (264 nucleotides) under Nicotiana benthamiana. RNAcentral describes it as "long non-coding RNA (NBEN_LNC026848)". The record is from RNAcentral. Lineage: Eukaryota; Viridiplantae; Streptophyta; Magnoliopsida; Solanales; Solanaceae.
AAUGAUUCUACUAUUAAGCUCUUGUAAAAGAAACAACAACAACAACUACCCAGUAUCUUCCCACCAGGUGGGGUCAGGGGAGGGUAAUAUGUAGACGAGCCUUACCCCUACCCGAAAAGGUAGAGAGGCUGUUUCCAUUCGACCCUCGGCGCAUAGGAUAAAAUGAAAGCUGCAUUAAAACAAAAACAAAGACAAAAUUAGAAACAAAAACAAGACAAAACAAAACAAUAAAGCAUUAGUAAAUCCCGCAGAAAUAACGUAAAU